AACGAACGCUGGCGGCAUGCCUAACACAUGGAAGUCGAACGAGACCUUUGGGUCUAGUGGCGCACGGGUGCGUAACGCGUGGGAAUCUGCCCUUGGGUUCGGAAUAACAGUGAGAAAUUGCUGCUAAUACCGGAUGAUGUCUUCGGACCAAAGAUUUAUCGCCCAGGGAUGAGCCCGCGUAGGAUUAGCUAGUUGGUGGGGUAAUGGCCUACCAAGGCGACGAUCCUUAGCUGGUCUGAGAGGAUGAUCAGCCACACUGGGACUGAGACACGGCCCAGACUCCUACGGGAGGCAGCAGUGGGGAAUAUUGGACAAUGGGCGCAAGACUGAGCCAGCAAUGCCGCGUGAGUGAUGAAGGCCUUAGGGUGGUAAAGCUCUUUUACCAGGGAUGAUAAUGACAGUACCUGGAGAAUAAGCUCCGGCUAACUCCGUG
Molecule: ribosomal RNA, 433 nt
Filed under: uncultured bacterium
Lineage: Bacteria
Description: partial 16S ribosomal RNA
Rfam family: Bacterial small subunit ribosomal RNA
Source: RNAcentral